This is a long non-coding RNA of Dermacentor silvarum, 458 nucleotides long. RefSeq lists it as uncharacterized. NCBI's taxonomy places the organism in Eukaryota, Metazoa, Arthropoda, Arachnida, Ixodida, Ixodidae. The record is from RefSeq and is a predicted model, not a curated record. The transcript is spliced from 3 exons.
UUGUAUGCGCGUUUUUGUGUGAAUGCGCGCUUGCGCUGUUGACUCUUUGGCGCAUUCCGGAACUUUGUGCGUGCGGCGUAUGUGUGCGGGUUGCGUGAUGAGUUUGCUGCGUUUUCUGUGCCCUUUGCCUCGCUGUGACAUCUUUGGUAUAUUCCAACUUGUUGCUCGCUCUUUAUGGGCUACACGUUGCCUCGAAGAUCACCAUGAUCGCCUCCGACUCAGCCACAUCGAAGAAUCAAAAUGAGCCUGGAGACGCCACAGCCGGAAUGCGAAAGGUUGGAGAAGUGCUCAUUCAGAUGAUCCUGGCACAGCUUGCCAUGGUGGACCAGGCAAGUUUGCAAGGGCCUUGAUUCACCAUGUGUUCACAGAGAACCUCAUGGGCCACUCACUUCUCGGAAACAACACCACCAAUAGGCAAAAAGAGGCUCUUGGCCUUAUCAGGGUCAACGCUGUUAUAG